AUUGAACGCUGGCGGCAUGCCUUACACAUGCAAGUCGAACGGCAGCGCGGGGCAACCUGGCGGCGAGUGGCGAACGGGUGAGUAAUAUAUCGGAACGUGCCCUGGAGUGGGGGAUAACGCAGCGAAAGUUGCGCUAAUACCGCAUACGAUCUAAGGAUGAAAGCAGGGGACCGGCAAGGCCUUGUGCUCCUGGAGCGGCCGAUAUCUGAUUAGCAGUUGGUGGGGUAAAGGCCUACCAAGGCAUCGAUCAGUAGCUGGUC
This 260-nucleotide ribosomal RNA is filed under the name uncultured bacterium. RNAcentral's name for it is "partial 16S ribosomal RNA". It matches the Rfam family "Bacterial small subunit ribosomal RNA", at positions 30 to 292 of the family's 1533-position model. The record is from RNAcentral.